Molecule: ribosomal RNA, 252 nt
Filed under: uncultured bacterium
Lineage: Bacteria
Description: partial 16S ribosomal RNA
Rfam family: Bacterial small subunit ribosomal RNA
Source: RNAcentral
UACGUAGGUCCCGAGCGUUGUCUGGAUUUGUUGGGCGUAAAGCGAGCGCAGGUGGUUUAUUAAGUCUGGUGUAAAAGGCAGUGGCUCAACCAUUGUAUGCAUUGGAAACUGGUAGACUUGAGUGCAGGAGAGGAGAGUGGAAUUCCAUGUGUAGCGGUGAAAUGCGUAGAUAUAUGGAGGAACACCGGUGGCGAAAGCGGCUCUCUGGCCUGUAACUGACACUGAGGCUCGAAAGCGUGGGGAGCAAACAGG